CCUACGGGAGGCAGCAGUGGGGAAUAUUGGACAAUGGGGGCAACCCUGAUCCAGCCAUGCCGCGUGUGUGAAGAAGGCCCUCGGGUUGUAAAGCACUUUCAGUGAGGAAGAACGCCUGGUGGUUAAUACCCAUCAGGAAAGACAUCACUCACAGAAGAAGCACCGGCUAACUCCGUGCCAGCAGCCGCGGUAAUACGGAGGGUGCGAGCGUUAAUCGGAAUUACUGGGCGUAAAGCGCGCGUAGGUGGCUUGAUAAGCCGGUUGUGAAAGCCCCGGGCUCAACCUGGGAACUGCAUCCGGAACUGUCAAGCUAGAGUGCAGGAGAGGAAGGUAGAAUUCCCGGUGUAGCGGUGAAAUGCGUAGAGAUCGGGAGGAAUACCAGUGGCGAAAGCGGCCUUCUGGACUGACACUGACACUGAGGUGCGAAAGCGUGGGUAGCAAACAGGAUUAGAUACCCCUGUAGUC
This 465-nucleotide ribosomal RNA is filed under the name Vreelandella stevensii. RNAcentral describes it as "partial 16S ribosomal RNA". It matches the Rfam family "Bacterial small subunit ribosomal RNA", at positions 338 to 795 of the family's 1533-position model. The record is from RNAcentral. Lineage: Bacteria; Pseudomonadati; Pseudomonadota; Gammaproteobacteria; Oceanospirillales; Halomonadaceae.